UACGUAGGGAGCAAGCGUUGUCCGGAAUCAUUGGGCGUAAAGAGCGUGUAGGCGGCCACUUAAGUCCUGCGUGAAAUCCUGCGGCUCAACCGCAGGCGGUCGUGGGAAACUGGGUGGCUAGAGUGCGGGAGAGGAGAGUGGAAUUCCUGGUGUAGCGGUGGAAUGCGCAGAUAUCAGGAAGAACACCAACGGCGAAGGCAGCUCGCUGGGACGGUACUGACGCUGAGACGCGAAAGCGUGGGGAGCGAACAGG
Molecule: ribosomal RNA, 253 nt
Filed under: uncultured bacterium
Lineage: Bacteria
Description: partial 16S ribosomal RNA
Rfam family: Bacterial small subunit ribosomal RNA
Source: RNAcentral